This 274-nucleotide ribosomal RNA is filed under the name unidentified marine bacterioplankton. RNAcentral describes it as "partial 16S ribosomal RNA". It matches the Rfam family "Bacterial small subunit ribosomal RNA", at positions 47 to 339 of the family's 1533-position model. The record is from RNAcentral.
CUUAACACAUGCAAGUCGCGACGGAACGGGGGCAACCCCUCAGUGGCGGACGGGUGAGUAACGCGUAGGUAUCUAUCCAGUGGGUGGGGGAUAACAGGACGGGAAACUGCUGCUAAUACCGCAUGACACCUGGAGGGUACAAAGGCGACAAGUCGCCUGUGGAGGACGCCUCGCCGAUUAGCUAGUUGGGGGUAAAGGCCUACCAAGGCGACGAUCGGUAGCUGGUCUGAGAGGAUGAUCAGCCACACUGGGACUGAGACACGGCCCAGACUCC